UACGGAGGGUUCAAGCGUUAUCCGGAUUCAUUGGGUUUAAAGGGUACGUAGGCGGAUUAAUAAGUCAGUGGUGAAAUCCCGAAGCUCAACUUCGGAACUGCCAUUGAAACUGUUGAUCUUGAAUUUGGUUGAAGUGGGCGGAAUAUGACAUGUAGCGGUGAAAUGCAUAGAUAUGUCAUGGAACACCGAUAGUGAAGACAGCUCACUAAACCAAUAUUGACGCUGAGGUACGAAAGCAUGGGUAGCGAACAGG
RNAcentral lists this ribosomal RNA (253 nucleotides) under uncultured bacterium. Its description in RNAcentral is "partial 16S ribosomal RNA". It matches the Rfam family "Bacterial small subunit ribosomal RNA", at positions 524 to 776 of the family's 1533-position model. The record is from RNAcentral.